This 279-nucleotide ribosomal RNA is filed under the name uncultured Staphylococcus sp. RNAcentral describes it as "partial 16S ribosomal RNA". It matches the Rfam family "Bacterial small subunit ribosomal RNA", at positions 83 to 354 of the family's 1533-position model. Lineage: Bacteria; Bacillati; Bacillota; Bacilli; Caryophanales; Staphylococcaceae. The record is from RNAcentral.
CCUUUGACGUUAGCGGCGGACGGGUGAGUAACACGUGGGUAACCUACCUAUAAGACUGGGAUAACUUCGGGAAACCGGAGCUAAUACCGGAUAAUAUUUCGAACCGCAUGGUUCGAUAGUGAAAGANGGUUUUGCUAUCACUUAUAGAUGGACCCGCGCCGUAUUAGCUAGUUGGUAAGGUAACGGCUUACCAAGGCGACGAUACGUAGCCGACCUGAGAGGGUGAUCGGCCACACUGGAACUGAGACACGGUCCAGACUCCUACGGGAGGCAGCAGGU